CGCUGCUGAACGCCUGUCCAUCUGUCUUUGGGUGGUUGUCCUGCUAGAAGGUGAACCUCCACCCAGUCGUACGUCUUCUGCAGCCCAUCCAGGAUUGUGCUGGAUUUAGCUCCAACUCUGACCAGCUUCCACCACCAAGUUUCAUCAUAGGGUUGGACAGAUUGGGAAGCCGUGAUGGCGGCACAGAAGUUGAGGGAGAAGCUAUUUAUCCCAGACGGAUCAGGAGGUGUGUGACGGAGGUGUGGACGGUUGCUGCAGGUCAGUGACGUUGGCAGGCGCCAGGCAGGCCGGCCCACAUGGCUCGGGGACUGUGGGACUACAGACAGAUGGCACCUGGUGGGUGACAAACAAUUAACAAACCAACAAGAAUAGCUGGAUCGGCACUAUACCCACAAGCGCAGGAGAUAGCAAGAGAGCGGGUGCAUCUGUGCUCUGAACACUUCUACUCUUUACUUUUCCUCUCCCCAAGACUUGUUUUGUAUAACAGUUGCAAUUUAACCAUGUGUCUUUCUCACAAAAACACUCGUGUCGUUGUGUUGCUGUAGAACGGUCUAAAUAAAGCAGUGCUGAGCAUAUGCAA
This is a long non-coding RNA of Girardinichthys multiradiatus, 580 nucleotides long. RefSeq lists it as uncharacterized. The transcript is spliced from 3 exons. NCBI's taxonomy places the organism in Eukaryota, Metazoa, Chordata, Actinopteri, Cyprinodontiformes, Goodeidae. The record is from RefSeq and is a predicted model, not a curated record.